Long non-coding RNA from Xiphophorus maculatus (southern platyfish), 870 nucleotides. RefSeq lists it as uncharacterized. The record is from RefSeq and is a predicted model, not a curated record. The transcript is spliced from 3 exons. Lineage: Eukaryota; Metazoa; Chordata; Actinopteri; Cyprinodontiformes; Poeciliidae.
AUCUGCAGAAAUACAUUGCUCAAUCAGAAACAACCAAUCAGAGCUGGUAGGAGGGUCCUAGCGUGGUCAAUCACUCUGGUGUAUGUGCUGUUCACAGCUCUCUGCUCUGCUAUAGUUAGUUACCUGCAAUCUUGCUGUCGGGUUCCAGGGUUUUUUGCUUUUCUUUGUGGGUUUUAUUUUUUGUUUGGGUUCUUUUGUUGCGCCACUGCUUCUCCACCAGAUGGUGCCAGAGACUGCCUACCUGGAGAGGUGUUCCAACGAUUCCACACACCUGUCUUCAAUCAUCUCAUUAUCUCCAGGAGCAUCAGAGAAGCUGACUGCCAGCACUUCGAGGCCUGAGUGUUAGCCUCCUACGGUGUUUUUCCCUAUGAAGCUGUGGAUCCUCCUCGUGAUGAUCUAGUCCUGACUUUGGAUUUCGCUUCCUUCGUGACGCCGUGGAUCUUACCCACUGGUUACCCGAGUUCCACCAUCCUCCUCUCCUGUUGAUCAUCAGAGUCUCCUGUAUUCUCCGGCUGGCAGUCGCACCGCUCCUCUGACUCCUCUCUCGCCAGGAACUUACCUGUCCGCCCUCCACCGCAGCCAGCCCAUCUCCCACCGGACUCCGCUCAGCUGAGCCACCCUCUGGAACCUGGACCACUCUAGGAUUUUCUAUAGGGUCGCUGCCCUGAACCCACAGUCGAAACCCCCCCGGAUCGAAAUCAUCGUCUCCACAAUGUGCCGACAUCUUCAAGAAUCCACCCGCGGGACCACACACACACACUCAUUCUGAUUUAUCUUUACAUUUCAAUAAACAGUCUUUAACUGAUUUCCUGUUCUCCUGUGGUGUUCUGCAUGUGGGCAAAGAAAGUAGACCCAAACAUACUUGCCUGC